Molecule: ribosomal RNA, 253 nt
Filed under: uncultured bacterium
Lineage: Bacteria
Description: partial 16S ribosomal RNA
Rfam family: Bacterial small subunit ribosomal RNA
Source: RNAcentral
UACGGGGGGAGCAAGCGUUGUUCGGAUUUACUGGGCGUAAAGGGCGCGUAGGCGGCACAGCAAGUCGGGAGUGAAAGCCCGGGGCUCAACCCCGGAAUGGCUUUCGAAACUGCUGAGCUAGAGUACAGAAGGGGCAACCGGAAUUCCCAGUGUAGCGGUGAAAUGCGUAGAUAUUGGGAAGAACACCUGAGGCGAAGGCGGGUUGCUGGGCUGAUACUGACGCUGAGGCGCGAAAGCCAGGGGAGCAAACGGG